RNAcentral lists this ribosomal RNA (253 nucleotides) under uncultured bacterium. RNAcentral describes it as "partial 16S ribosomal RNA". It matches the Rfam family "Bacterial small subunit ribosomal RNA", at positions 524 to 776 of the family's 1533-position model. The record is from RNAcentral.
UACAGAGGUCUCAAGCGUUGCUCGGAAUCACUGGGCGUAAAGCGCGUGUAGGCGGUCCGGUAAGUCCGCUGUGAAAGUCGAGGGCUCAACCCUCGAAUGCCGGUGGAUACUGUCGGGCUUGAGUACGGGAGAGGCGAGUGGAAUUCCUGGUGUAGCGGUGAAAUGCGCAGAUAUCAGGAGGAACACAGAUUGCGAAGGCAGCUCGCUGGAACGUUACUGACGCUGAGACGCGAAAGCGUGGGGAGCAAACAGG